CCUACGGGCGGCAGCAGUGGGGAAUAUUGGUCAAUGGACGAGAGUCUGAACCAGCCAAGUAGCGUGAAGGAUGACUGCCCUAUGGGUUGUAAACUUCUGUUAUCAGGGAAUAAAACGCGGCACGUGUGCCUUUUUGCAUGUACUUUAUGAUUAAGGAUGGGCGAACUCCGUGCCAGCAGCCGCGGUAAUACGGAGGAUCGGAGCGUUAGUCGGAUUUAUUGGGUUUAAAGGGAGCGUAGAUGGGUUGUUAAGUCAGUUGUGAAAGUUUGCGGCUCAACCGUAAAAUUGCAAUUGAAACUGGCAGUCUUGAGUACAGUUGAGGUAGGCGGAAUUCGUGGUGUAGCGGUGAAAUGCGUAGAUAUCACGAAGAACCCCGAUUGCGAAGGCAGCUUACUAAACUGUGACUGACAUUGAUGCUCGAAAGUGUGGGUAUCAAACAGGAUUAGAUACCCCGGUAGUC
Molecule: ribosomal RNA, 460 nt
Filed under: uncultured bacterium
Lineage: Bacteria
Description: partial 16S ribosomal RNA
Rfam family: Bacterial small subunit ribosomal RNA
Source: RNAcentral